CUUGUCUCAAAGCUUAAGCCAUGCAAGUCUCAGUACGAGCUGUCUUAAGGUGAAACCGCAAAAGGCUCAGUAAACCGGUCAUAGUUUACCGGAUAUAUACCACUUACGUGGAUAACUGUGGUAAUUCUAGAGCUAAUACAUGCAAAAAUGUCCCGACCAGAGAUGGUGGGGACGCUUUUAUUGGAACAAAACCAUUCGCCCGGCUUGCCGGGCGUCUUUAUGGUGACACUAGAUAACACACCAGAUCGCACGGUCAUAGAACCGGUGACAUAUCCUUCAAAUGUCUGACUUAUCAGCUGUCGAUGGUAGACUCUGUGUCUACCAUGGCUCUCACGGGUGACGGGGAAUCAGGGUUCGAUUCCGGAGAGGGAGCCUGAGAAACGGCUACCACAUCCAAGGAAGGCAGCAGGCACGCAAAUUACCCACUCCCGGCACGGGGAGGUAGUGACAAAAAAUAACGAUACGGGACUCAUCCGAGGCCCCGUAAUCGGAAUGAGAACAUCCUAAAUCCUUUAACGAAAAUCUAUUGGAGGGCAAGUCUGGUGCCAGCAGCCGCGGUAACUCCAGCUCCAAUAGCGUAUAUUAAAGUUGUUGCGGUUAAGGGGACAGGCGGCUCUUAGCCGCACGAGAUUGAGCAAUAACAGGUCUGUAAUGCCCUUAGAUGUUCUGGGCCGCACGCGCGCUACACUGAAGGAAUCAGCGUGUGCUCCCCUGUCCGAAAGGUCCGGGUAACCCGCUGAACCUCCUUCGUGCUAGGAAUUGGGGCUUGCAAUUGUUCCCCAUGAACGAGGAAUUCCCAGUAAGCGCGAGUCAUAAGCUCGCGUUGAUUACGUCCCUGCCCUUUGUACACACCGCCCGUCGCUACUACCGAUUGAAUGAUUUAGUGAGGUCUUCGGACCGGCGAAAACCGGCACCGACUUGUUCGGUAUCGAUUUCGCUGGAAAGAUGACCGAACUUGAUUAUUUAGAGGAAGUAAAAGUCGUAACAAGGUUUCCCUUGGCAAAUGCUUUCGCAAAAAGCUCGUAGUUGGUUCUGCGUGCCACGCUGUCGGUUCACCGCCUGCCGGUGCAACUGGCAUGCCGUGGCAUGUCCUGUCGGUGGCGGAUAGGCUUCGUGUCGCGUCCUAUGCACUAAACUGUGUAGGCCGCGCGGCACGUUGUCCUUGUACGCCGGCUCAAUCCUACCGCGGUGCUCUUUACCGAGUGUCGAGGUGGGCCGACACUGUUUACUUUGAACAAAUUAGAGUGCUUAAAGCAGGCUCUUAAAUCAGCCUGAAUAGUGGUGCAUGGAAUAAUAGAACAGGACCUUGGUUCUAUUUUGUUGGUUUUCUGAACCAAGGUAAUGAUCAAUAAGGACAGGCGGGGGCAUUCGUAUUGCGACGUUAGAUUAAAGGAAUUGACGGAAGGGCACCACCAGGAGUGGAGCCUGCGGCUUAAUUCGACUCAACACGGAAAACCCCACCAGGCCCGGACAUUGGAAGGAUUGACAGAUCGAUAGCUCUUUCUCGAUUCAGUGGGUAGUGGUGCAUGGCCGUUCAUAGUUCGUGGACUGAUUUGUCUGGUUAAUUCCGAUAACGAACGAGACUCUAACCUAUUAACUAGGCGUUUCCGGUAUAGCUAAGCUACCGGUGAGAAUUAUUCUUCUU
RNAcentral lists this ribosomal RNA (1645 nucleotides) under Stenophyella sp. WCW-2003b. RNAcentral's name for it is "bacterial SSU rRNA". It matches the Rfam family "Eukaryotic small subunit ribosomal RNA", at positions 31 to 1412 of the family's 1831-position model. The record is from RNAcentral. Lineage: Eukaryota; Metazoa; Arthropoda; Insecta; Hemiptera; Pachygronthidae.